This 379-nucleotide unclassified non-coding RNA is filed under the name soil metagenome. RNAcentral's name for it is "partial contains 5.8S ribosomal RNA, internal transcribed spacer 2, and large subunit ribosomal RNA". The stretch from base 1 to 120 matches the Rfam family "5.8S ribosomal RNA", at positions 35 to 154 of the family's 154-position model. The record is from RNAcentral.
GAUGAAGAACGUAGCGAAAUGCGAUACGUAAUGUGAAUUGCAGAAUUCAGCGAAUCAUCGAAUCUUUGAACGCACAUUGCACUCCUUGGUAUUCCGAGGAGUAUGCCUGUUUCAGUAUCAUGAGCACUCUCACAUCUAACCUUUGGGUUAAAAUGUGGAAUUGGGAUGCGCCGGUUAUUAUAACGGCCCUCCUAAAAUUCAGUUCUUGGCUGCUUCCUACUACAGCAGUUUGGCCUAAUAGUUUUGAGUCUUCGAUUCAAAUCUUUGGCUAACAUUUGCUUCAGGAUGUCAGUCUUGAUAUACAGAAAUCUCAUUCAAACUUUGAUCUGAAAUCAGGUAGGGCUACCCGCUGAACUUAAGCAUAUCAAUAAGCGGAGGA